This 497-nucleotide ribosomal RNA is filed under the name uncultured bacterium. RNAcentral describes it as "partial 16S ribosomal RNA". It matches the Rfam family "Bacterial small subunit ribosomal RNA", at positions 28 to 507 of the family's 1533-position model. The record is from RNAcentral.
GAUGAACGCUGGCGGCGUGCCUAAUACAUGCAAGUCGAGCGAACAGACGAGGAGCUUGCUCCUCUGACGUUAGCGGCGGACGGGUGAGUAACACGUGGAUAACCUACCUAUAAGACUGGGAUAACUUCGGGAAACCGGAGCUAAUACCGGAUAAUAUAUUGAACCGCAUGGUUCAAUAGUGAAAGACGGUUUUGCUGUCACUUAUAGAUGGAUCCGCGCCGCAUUAGCUAGUUGGUAAGGUAACGGCUUACCAAGGCAACGAUGCGUAGCCGACCUGAGAGGGUGAUCGGCCCCACUGGAACUGAGCCACGGUCCAGACUCCUACGGGAGGCAGCAGUAGGGAAUCUUCCGCAAUGGGAGAAAGCUUGACGGAGCAACGCCGCGUGAGUGAUGAAGGUCUUCGGAUCGUAAAACUAUGUUAUUAGGGAAGAACAAAUGUGUAAGUAACUAUGCACGUCUUGACGGUACCUAAUCAGAAAGCCACGGCUAACUACGUG